UGUUGUUCUUGACAUUUGUGUAUGUUGCCGGUUGGGACACUUGUCAUUGUACCUGGUUCCUGUGCCCAGUUCCUUGGCGUUCUUACCAUCCAAAUUAUUGGGCCGCGGUUAUCUCACAGAUUCAGACCAAAACAACAUGACCGAACACAGCCUCCGAGACCGAUGGAGGCCAGUUUGACGACAGGGAAUACAGGAUAUACAGUACCAAGGGAAGGCAGAAGCUCUGUGAACCUGAACAGUAGACGUUUAAAACUAUAAAACUGUGGUUUUCAGCUGUAGUCUGCAGUCUGGCGGUUUUCUAGCUCCUCAGCAGCUCCAGUUUGUGAAGUGGAGUAAAGAGUGGAAAGGGAAGAAAUGCUUCAGAGAGAUGACAAAGCAAGACUGGUGUUUCCAGAGCAGCAGCUCGGCAGGGUGCUGGAGGAGGUGAGCCCUGCCUGUCUGUUGGAUACUCCUCCUCUGUUCCACAGAUGACCAGCGCAGCGUAAGGAAAAGCCCACCAGGAGCUCAAACAGUGAGAGUGGCGUUAGACACUCCCCAACCGCCUUACAGCAUGACUGCCACUGCCCUUGACGUCUGAAACAUGUAUUGGAUUAAAAUAUGUAUCAGCACUUAUUGGUAAGACAAUCACUCUGCCUCUCCCUGUUUCGAUUUCUUAGUUUUCCUUUUCAGGAAACAUCGACAAAAUCUCAGAUCACUUCACACUGACAUUUCAAGGGGAGGAGACGUAUCAAGGCAGCGUGAUAGUAUGAAUGGUAUCCACUGCCAACAGCAUCUCAGGCUGGAUCCCAGUCCAUCAGGCCAUGAAAUAUUCAUCCUUAAACCAAAAAUGUCUGUCAUGAAUACUGUACAACACGACCCUUCCUGCAUCCUGGAACACAGUAACAGCAGCACGAUUAAAUGUAGGCACGUCAUUGUAGGAUAUAAUGUUUUCUUGCUCAAACUGAAUAUGUAGAUGUGUUUUACACUGUUUAGGAUGCAGUGUAGUAAUAACAUAGCAGUGUGUAAGAAAGGAGCCUGAAGAAAGUCGCAUUGCCUCAGUAUCUUGUUUCCUGAUAAGGCGGAGCUGUCAAAGUUGCAUACUGUGUGCAGCAACAUGUUUCUGUUGCACACAGCUCUGAAUUCAAGCCAAAUCCCUCGACUACCUGCCAUCGGACAUGGUACAGUUACCACAGGCCGUAGAUAUCCGCUUCCUUAGCACCCAUUAGCAAGCAGCCGAGGAUUUAUCACUAAUGUCAGGGAGGCAUUAACAGACCUAAUGAAAUUUCACGUUGUUCUUCAAGCAAUAUUAUCCCUGUGACCCCAGUCUUUUCACUACAGCAAGGUUUAACUGCUGAAUGUCAAACAGCUGGCUAAGCCUGUGGCAUCAAGCUUAGUUAUGUGUUUUUUUUUAUCUGUGCUCAUUUGGAUUUGUGUUCCUCUCAGAAUAACAGAAAAUAAUGGCAACCCCCCCCCAAGCCCCUUUCAGUCUGAGGUGGGUUGCAAGUUAAUGACAUCGGGCCAUGUUGCGCUUGGCUGCGUCCCCACACAUAAUUAUGGUCUUAUUGUCACAAAAAUCGCCUGCACUUGCCUCUAUAGCUGCUGUAACCCCCCCAAGAUUAACGAAAAGGCAAAUUAUCUUUAGUGUGCUGGGGCUCCAACCAUAACUGCCCUGAAAUGAGUAAUUAAAAUUUAGCUUCAUAACGAUAGGUGCAGCCUGGAAAUUAAUUGCCAUGCCUAAAAAUACAAAUUCUCAUUUUGCAUGAGAUCCGCUGCCAGUGAGAAGAUGUACAGUAGUUCAUGUAGUGAUAGUGCACUCACUUUUAAGUAUUUGUAUAUUAUCACAGUGUUUUUAAGUGUGUGGCCACAUGAAUGAGUGAGGAGAGAGGAGGGAACCCUGUUUACAUGGCCAUUAACUUUAUAAACUAUAAUCUUAAUACCAUAUAAAAGAUAUGAAUCUAAAAUACAGGCUAUAAUGUCCCAUUUGUUUCUAAUACAGUUUUUAUUAUUUGCUUUGUUAUAUCCUCCAAUAAAACACAAUAAUCUUCUAGUUUAUGUUAUUGUCUAGAAGGUUUAAAAGACACAUUUUGCACAACAGACAGUUUUGCCUGUGCUCAGAAAUGAUAAAUUUUGCUUUGUCUGAGAAUAGACUUCCUCUGUGGCCAUCAACACAAACAGUAAACAACACCAAAUGUAAAGUCUUUUCUGGUUCUGUGUACCUUCUGAUAGAGGCUGUUCUCCUGGUGCAACACUGACUGUGUGAGCUUUCCGUUUUUAAAAAAAUCAGUAGUUGUAAACCAAUUCCCUGAAAGUGAGAAAUUCUGCUGCAUUUGCCACCACCCACGGCAUUAGACAGCCUUCAAAUGCAGGCAGUCUGAGGUUCAGAGUGGAUACCUGAUCACAUUAUGGGUUAGGGCAACUCGAGUUCAGCCAUAUCAAAGAGAAUCCAUUACAUGUGCAGCACAUGGAGAGGUGGGGCGGUGAGUUGACAAGGGCGAGAGAGCCCAAGAAGGUAGAGGCUUUUAUUAAAUAAACAUUUUUUUUGGGGGGGGGGCAAUUAAA
This is a long non-coding RNA of Siniperca chuatsi (mandarin fish), 2538 nucleotides long. RefSeq lists it as uncharacterized. The record is from RefSeq and is a predicted model, not a curated record. The transcript has 5 exons. NCBI's taxonomy places the organism in Eukaryota, Metazoa, Chordata, Actinopteri, Centrarchiformes, Sinipercidae.